AGCAUCAGCGACCAUCACCCUGCAUGUACUUGAUCAAUUAAAUUCCAGGGAUAAAAUCGACACUGUCGGCAUAGUAGGCAUAGUGAUUGCUGUUCUGCUUUGCCUGGGUUUUAUCAGUGGGCUCAGCGCAUGGUUAAUCAAAAUGAAAUCACAAAGAAUGAAAUCUUCAACACAAGGACAAAAUAUUAGCUCAGCAGAAAAUG
This is a long non-coding RNA of Rhincodon typus (whale shark), 203 nucleotides long. RefSeq lists it as uncharacterized. The record is from RefSeq and is a predicted model, not a curated record. The transcript is spliced from 3 exons. Lineage: Eukaryota; Metazoa; Chordata; Chondrichthyes; Orectolobiformes; Rhincodontidae.